This 468-nucleotide ribosomal RNA is filed under the name uncultured bacterium. RNAcentral's name for it is "partial 16S ribosomal RNA". It matches the Rfam family "Bacterial small subunit ribosomal RNA", at positions 28 to 507 of the family's 1533-position model. The record is from RNAcentral.
GACGAACGCUGGCGGCGUGCUUAACACAUGCAAGUCGAACGGAGAGGCCCUGCUUUUGUGGGGUGCUCGAGUGGCGAACGGGUGAGUAACACGUGAGUAACCUGCCCUUGACUUUGGGAUAACUUCAGGAAACUGGGGCUAAUAUCGGAUAGGAGCUCCUGCUGCAUGGUGGGGGUUGGAAAGUUUCGGCGGUUGGGGAUGGACUCGCGGCUUAUCAGCUUGUUGGUGGGGUAGUGGCUUACCAAGGCUUUGACGGGUAGCCGGCCUGGGAGGGUGACCGGCCACAUUGGGACUGAGAUACGGCCCAGACUCCUACGGGAGGCAGCAGUGGGGAAUAUUGCACAAUGGGCGGAAGCCUGAUGCAGCAACGCCGCGUGCGGGAUGACGGCCUUCGGGUUGUAAACCGCUUUCGCCUGUGACGAAGCGUGAGUGACGGUAAUGGGUAAAGAAGCACCGGCUAACUACGUG